Molecule: long non-coding RNA, 274 nt
Organism: Eptesicus fuscus (big brown bat)
Lineage: Eukaryota; Metazoa; Chordata; Mammalia; Chiroptera; Vespertilionidae
Exons: 3
Source: RefSeq, a predicted model, not a curated record
AGGCCCUGAAAGAGGCCAGAGCCGGGUCAGGUGCUGCGGAGCCAGGACGCAACUUCCUCCCUGAGGUUGGGGAGUCAGACAAACUAGGAACCCACCCUAGACCCCAGUGAUCUCUGCACAGACGCAGAACUGGCUUCACCGGAGCCUGGAGGGCUGUGUGCGGACCGUCCACUCCGACACUGACCUUUGGUUUGCCAGCCCGGGGGAAACAAACAUUGGCCUCCCGCCUACAUUCUUCCGGUCCAGCUCCAGCGCCUGCAGGGCCGACUUCUCC